RNAcentral lists this ribosomal RNA (549 nucleotides) under uncultured bacterium. Its description in RNAcentral is "partial 16S ribosomal RNA". It matches the Rfam family "Bacterial small subunit ribosomal RNA", at positions 355 to 891 of the family's 1533-position model. The record is from RNAcentral.
UGGGGAAUAUUGCACAAUGGGCGCAAGCCUGAUGCAGCCAUGCCGCGUGUGUGAAGAAGGCCUUCGGGUUGUAAAGCACUUUCAGCGAGGAGGAAGGUGGUGAGCUUAAUACGCUCAUCAAUUGACGUUACUCGCAGAAGAAGCACCGGCUAACUCCGUGCCAGCAGCCGCGGUAAUACGAAGGGUGCAAGCGUUAAUCGGAAUUACUGGGCGUAAAGCGCACGCAGGCGGUUUGUUAAGUCAGAUGUGAAAUCCCCGGGCUCAACCUGGGAACUGCAUUUGAAACUGGCAAGCUAGAGUCUCGUAGAGGGGGGUAGAAUUCCAGGUGUAGCGGUGAAAUGCGUAGAGAUCUGGAGGAAUACCGGUGGCGAAGGCGGCCCCCUGGACGAAGACUGACGCUCAGGUGCGAAAAGCGUGGGGAGCAAAACAGGAUUAGAUACCCCUGGUAGUCCACGCUGUAAAACGAUGUCGAUUUUGGAGGUUGUGCCCUUGAGGCGUGGCUUCCGGAGCUAACGCGUUAAAUCGACCGCCUGGGGAGUACGGCCGCAA